RNAcentral lists this ribosomal RNA (253 nucleotides) under uncultured bacterium. RNAcentral describes it as "partial 16S ribosomal RNA". It matches the Rfam family "Bacterial small subunit ribosomal RNA", at positions 524 to 776 of the family's 1533-position model. The record is from RNAcentral.
UACAGAGGGGGCAAGCGUUGUUCGGAAUUACUGGGCGUAAAGGGCGCGUAGGCGGCCUUCUAAGUCGAACGUGAAAUCCCCGGGCUUAACCUGGGAAUGGCAUUUGGGACUGCAAGGCUGGAGUGCGGCAGAGGAGACUGGAAUUCCUGGUGUAGCAGUGAAAUGCGUAGAUAUCAGGAGGAACACCGAUGGCGAAGGCAGGUCUCUGGGCUGACACUGACGCUCAUGCACGAAAGCGUGGGGAGCAAACAGG